AACGCACCUUGCGCUCCUUGGUAUUCCGAGGAGCAUGCCCGUUUGAGUGUCUUGAUAUCAUCAAACGCCCCUGCCUUUUCUGGUGGGUCGGCGAUUUGGACUUGGACGUGCUGCUGGGCGCUCUGCGCUCGGCUCGUCUUGAAUGCAUUAGCUGGAUCUCCCUCCGGCCUCGGACCUUAUGGCGUGAUAAGAUCACCCGUCGAGCAGUCCUUGGUCAACGUUGGGUUCCGCUUCCAACCGUCCCCCGUGGACAACACCGAAACCUGGUUUUCGACAUCUGACCUCAAAUCGGGUAGGACUACCCGCUGAACUUAA
RNAcentral lists this unclassified non-coding RNA (315 nucleotides) under uncultured Botryobasidium. RNAcentral's name for it is "partial contains 5.8S ribosomal RNA, internal transcribed spacer 2, and large subunit ribosomal RNA". The record is from RNAcentral. Lineage: Eukaryota; Fungi; Basidiomycota; Agaricomycetes; Cantharellales; Botryobasidiaceae.